Non-coding RNA from Chelonoidis abingdonii (Abingdon island giant tortoise), 101 nucleotides. Lineage: Eukaryota; Metazoa; Chordata; Testudines; Testudinidae. The record is from RefSeq and is a predicted model, not a curated record.
GCCAAGGCAAAGAACAGCCCACUGGGGAGGGAGCUGGGGAGCCUCAGGGCUUGCAGACCUCCCUGCCUAGAGACACCUCAGGGUCCGGGCAGGGGCAUAGC